RNAcentral lists this ribosomal RNA (920 nucleotides) under uncultured Halobacteria archaeon. RNAcentral describes it as "bacterial SSU rRNA". It matches the Rfam family "Archaeal small subunit ribosomal RNA", at positions 1 to 922 of the family's 1478-position model. The record is from RNAcentral. Lineage: Archaea; Methanobacteriati; Methanobacteriota; Halobacteria.
UUCCGGUUGAUCCUGCCGGAGGCCAUUGCUAUCGGAGUCCGAUUUAGCCAUGCUAGUUGUGCGGGUUUAGGCCCGCAGCGGAAAGCUCAGUAACACGUGGCCAAACUACCCUGUGGAUGGGAACAAUCUCGGGAAACUGAGGCUAAUUCCCAAUAACGCUCNCACCCCUGGAACGGGCGGAGCUGGAAACGCUACGGCGCCACAGGAUGUGGCUGCGGUCGAUUAGGUAGACGGUGGGGUAACGGCCCACCGUGCCAAUAAUCGGUACGGGUUGUGAGAGCAAGAGCCCGGAGACGGAAUCUGAGACAAGAUUCCGGGCCCUACGGGGCGCAGCAGGCGCGAAACCUUUACACUGUACGCAAGUGCGAUAAGGGGACUCCGAGUGUGAAGGCAUAGAGCCUUCACUUUUGUACACCGUAAGGUGGUGUACGAAUAAGGGCUGGGCAAGACCGGUGCCAGCCGCCGCGGUAAUACCGGCAGCCCGAGUGAUGGCCGAUAUUAUUGGGCCUAAAGCGUCCGUAGCUGGCCGGACAAGUCCGUUGGGAAAUCUGUUCGCUUAACGAGCAGGCGUCCAGCGGAAACUGUUCGGCUUGGGACCGGAAGACCUGAGGGGUACGUCCGGGGUAGGAGUGAAAUCCUGUAAUCCUGGACGGACCACCGGUGGCGAAAGCGCCUCAGGAGGACGGAUCCGACAGUGAGGGACGAAAGCUAGGGUCUCGAACCGGAUUAGAUACCCGGGUAGUCCUAGCUGUAAACGAUGCCCGCUAGGUGUGGCGCAGGCUACGAGCCUGCGCUGUGCCGUAGGGAGGCCGAGAAGCGGGCCGCCUGGGAAGUACGUCUGCAAGGAUGAAACUUAAAGGAAUUGGCGGGGGAGCACUACAACCGGAGGAGCCUGCGGUUUAAUUGGAUUCAACGCCGGG